UAGACUUCGCCUUGUUCGUGGCUCCGGCACAUACGGUCGAACCAACACUUCGUUCGAGGGAGUCCUACAUCAGCCCGGCGAAGCGGUAUCCCCCUUGCGGGGAAGCGCGGAUCCGGGGUGCGGACACCCACCUGCUAGGGCAGGUUCACCCGACCGGGGGCACGACAAGGCGGGGUUCAC
RNAcentral lists this non-coding RNA (180 nucleotides) under Coriobacteriia bacterium. RNAcentral describes it as "6S RNA". It matches the Rfam family "6S / SsrS RNA". Rfam says of the family: E. coli 6S RNA was the first non coding RNA to be sequenced, but its function was unknown until recently. It consists of 184 nucleotides that fold into an extended hairpin structure with a large single-stranded internal bulge. The 6S RNA specifically associates with RNA polymerase holoenzyme containing the sigma70 specificity factor. Lineage: Bacteria; Bacillati; Actinomycetota; Coriobacteriia. The record is from RNAcentral.